RNAcentral lists this transfer RNA (70 nucleotides) under Dipodomys ordii (Ord's kangaroo rat). It matches the Rfam family "tRNA". From Rfam's summary of the family: Transfer RNA (tRNA) molecules are approximately 80 nucleotides in length. Their secondary structure includes four short double-helical elements and three loops (D, anti-codon, and T loops). Lineage: Eukaryota; Metazoa; Chordata; Mammalia; Rodentia; Heteromyidae. The record is from Rfam by way of RNAcentral.
GGGAAGGUGGCUCAGUGGUAGAGCGCUUGCCUUACAUGGAUGAGGCCCUGGGUUCAAUUCCCCAUCACCA